RNAcentral lists this ribosomal RNA (407 nucleotides) under uncultured bacterium. Its description in RNAcentral is "bacterial SSU rRNA". It matches the Rfam family "Bacterial small subunit ribosomal RNA", at positions 975 to 1375 of the family's 1533-position model. The record is from RNAcentral.
CUGGGUUUGACAUGCACUGGAAGCAUCCAGAGAUGGGUGUGCCCUUGUGGCCGGUGCACAGGUGGUGCAUGGCUGUCGUCAGCUCGUGUCGUGAGAUGUUGGGUUAAGUCCCGCAACGAGCGCAACCCUCGUUCCAUGUUGCCAGCACGCCCUUCGGGGUGGUGGGGACUCAUGGGAGACUGCCGGGGUCAACUCGGAGGAAGGUGGGGAUGACGUCAAGUCAUCAUGCCCCUUAUGUCCAGGGCUUCACGCAUGCUACAAUGGCCGGUACAGAGGGCUGCGAUCCCGUGAGGGGGAGCGAAUCCCAAAAAGCCGGUCUCAGUUCGGAUUGGGGUCUGCAACUCGACCCCAUGAAGUCGGAGUCGCUAGUAAUCGCAGAUCAGCAACGCUGCGGUGAAUACGUUCCC